This 29-nucleotide non-coding RNA is filed under the name Rattus norvegicus (Norway rat). Lineage: Eukaryota; Metazoa; Chordata; Mammalia; Rodentia; Muridae. The record is from RNAcentral.
UGAGAAAAGGACAGAAACGGCCUUUUUGC